This 377-nucleotide ribosomal RNA is filed under the name uncultured bacterium. RNAcentral describes it as "bacterial SSU rRNA". It matches the Rfam family "Bacterial small subunit ribosomal RNA", at positions 523 to 898 of the family's 1533-position model. The record is from RNAcentral.
AUACGUAGGGGGCGAGCGUUGUCCGGAAUUACUGGGUGUAAAGGGCGUGUAGGCGGGGAUGCAAGUCAGAUGUGAAAUACCGAGGCUUAACCUCGGGGCUGCAUCUGAAACUGUGUUUCUUGAGUGUCGGAGAGGAAAGCGGAAUUCCCAGUGUAGCGGUGAAAUGCGUAGAGAUUGGGAGGAACACCAGUGGCGAAGGCGGCUUUCUGGACGACAACAGACGCUGAGGCGCGAAAGCGUGGGGAGCAAACAGGAUUAGAUACCCUGGUAGUCCACGCCGUAAACGAUGGAUAUUAGGUGUAGGAGGUAUCGACCCCUUCUGUGCCGGAGUUAACACAAUAAGUAUCCCACCUGGGGAGUACGGCCGCAAGGUUGAA